AGUAACCUUAUUUUUCAUUUUUCCGUGUCCAACGUUUGACCAUUCGUAUUAUUUGAAAAAUUUGUAAAAAACUUAAAAAAAAUAGUCAUGUAUAAAGUACUCUUUAUACUCUUUAUAUUUUAUCAUUUAGUAACAAUAAAAAUAUUAAUUACAAAAAAAUUUCAAAUAAGACGAAUGGUCAAACUUGGACACGGAAAAAC
Non-coding RNA from Oryza brachyantha (malo sina), 200 nucleotides. The record is from Rfam. NCBI's taxonomy places the organism in Eukaryota, Viridiplantae, Streptophyta, Magnoliopsida, Poales, Poaceae.